Molecule: long non-coding RNA, 4222 nt
Filed under: Canis lupus familiaris (dog)
Lineage: Eukaryota; Metazoa; Chordata; Mammalia; Carnivora; Canidae
Description: lncRNA (ENSCAFG00845028332.1)
Source: RNAcentral
AGGACGUCGCGCCCGGCGGCCGGACAUGGCUCUCCUGAUGGGAUCCGUAGGUCGCCAGUUGGGUCGCGUCGGGUGGCUCCAGACCCGGGCCAGGCCCGGGCUUCCCCACGCUUGGGGACUCCUCGCCACACAGCAGAACCGGGGUAAGGCGCGUGGCAACGAGUAUCAGCCGAGCAACAUCAAACGCAAGCACAAACACGGCUGGAUCCGGCGCCUGAGCACGCCAGCCGGCGUCCAGGUCAUCCUUCGCCGCAUGCUCAAAGGCCGCAAGUCGCUGAGCCACUGAGGAGCGCGAAGCUGCCGGCGGGACCCUACCCCGCCCCCCAGGGCCCCGCCCCAUUGGAGCAUUUCCCCUUCCUGGAACCGCUCCUGCUCUUGUUUUUGUGGGGAGCUGGGACAACUCAGACAUGAGCGCUCCUCGAACUGGGGGGAAGUCUAGGGUUGUACCGAAAGUAGAAGCAGGAGCUCAGACCUUGCCGAGUCUCUUUCUACGAUACUGAAUUAGGAAGAAUUCCGGACAUACAGUAGUGGUCACCAGUGAACCCCGUGGAUUCUGUUCACGGCUCUCACCACCAGUUACCCACAACCCACCUGCGCCCUCCUGUGUUAUUUGAGAGCAGAUCUCAGACAUUGGGUUAUUUCUUAAGUAUUUCAGAAUGCAUCUCUCCAAGAAAAGGGCUCUUAAAGACAUAAUCACAAAACUUUACACACCUAAAAAAAGUGGUUAAGAAUUCCUUAAUAUCAUUGCCUAAUAAAUGUUGAAAUUUCCAUUUUUUCUUAUUUACGUCAUUACUUUUAACAGGUCUGGAGGGUCUUGUGGGGAGUUGGGGUGUGAAUCCCCCUGCUCCUUGGGGAUGGGUUGUGUGACCUUGAGCAAGCCCUUGGCCCUCUGAGGCUCAUUUGGCUCCUAUGAAAUGAGGUGCUUAUUUCCCCUUGGCCGCAUUGUUGGAAUAAUAAUACUCAGUAGCCUCCACUUAGAACUUUUGAGUGCUUCCUAUGUACUGGGUGCUGGGUCCUUGUCUAACCUUGCUGCCUUCAAACUUAAAGGCAGUUUGGAGACAAAGUAGUCAGGGCUGAGAGGAGGAUUGUGAGGGCCAUGGGAGCCCAGAGGAAGUUUUGCUUGGCUUGGAUUUGGAAGAACGUAGUUACAGAGGGCUUCCUGGAAGCGGUUAGCAGGACCUGGGAGGGCCCAAAGGGAGAAAGGAUUAGAUCCAGGGGUCAGGAUAAAAGGAUACCCCCCGGAGGGUCCCGAAAUUCGGGGCCAAAGGAAUGAGACUGGGUCCUUGGGUGGCUGGGGAGCCACAGGGGCAUAUGAACAAGAGAAUCUGAGCUGUCAAUUCAAAGAGGAAGCAGCAAGUACGGAGCAGUUUAGAUAUGCCGAAACCUAGAGUUUGGAUUCUGCGGAGGAUGCUGGGAGUGUUGCGGUAGGUCCCUCUCUUCCGGGGCUGCUGUGCAAAUUGCAUGACACACCAUAUUAAAAAGUGAAGUAAACACUAGAAAAAGAAGAGACCUGCGGAACUCCCGGAGUUGUGGACUACAAGUCCCAAGAGGCCUCGGGGACAGGGCCUCCGCCCACUUCCGGAAUUUGCUGCCUUCGCUUCCAAUUCCCGGGCGGGGUUUUGCUUCCUCAACCGAACUUGACCACAAAGGGAGGAGGUGGGGUAGCCAAUGGACGCGUGACUUACGGGAUCUGGCCAAUGGGAAUGCGCAGAGGCCGCUACUUUGGAGGCGGGGCUAGAAGGCAGGCCAAUGAGGGGGGGCGGCGGCGCCAUCAGUGUGCGCUGUGCCGUGGCUGGAAGUUACUGUGCGGCGGCGGCUAAGAAGGCGGCUGUGGUGGUGGCUGCGGCGGCUGAGGCGGUGGCUGAGGCAGCGACGGAGGAAACAGAAGAUGGCAGAUUUUUUGAAAGGACUGCCUGUCUACAACAAAAGCAAUUUUAGUCGAUUUCAUGCUGACUCUGUGUGCAAAGCUUCGAACCGGCGUCCUUCAGUCUACCUGCCCACCCGGGAGUACCCAUCUGAACAGAUCAUCGUGACAGAAAAGACAAACAUCCUUUUGCGCUACCUACAUCAGCAAUGGGACAAAAAGAAUGCCGCAAAGAAGAGAGACCAGGAGCAAGUGGACCUUGAGGGUGAGAGCUCUGCACCCCCCCGCAAGGUCGCACGGACCGAUAGCCCGGACAUGCAUGAGGACACUUAAGACUCUCACUCCCCCACAGGCGCCUCCUGUCUUGUCUGCUCCUCGCCCGCCCGCCUUGUGUAAGCGCCCCCUGCCCUGCCCCUACCGGCCCACCACACCUGACCAUACCACUUCCAACCUCAUAGGAGCCGAUGUAUUUAUUUUCCUUGAGUUUUUAUUUAUGCUGUAAAAUGUACCAAGCGAUGGUUAAAGGGGACGUCAGACCCAGUAGUGUGAUGUUGGUAGAUGCUUUUUAAAAAACAUUGUUAUUCACAAACCCCACUACCCAGAACCCCCUUUUACUCCCCCACCCCCCUCCAAUUCUCCUCCGGAAAAACCAGAGCUUGUCUGCAAGGGUCUAGAGCCAGGGCCCUGCUGUGGCCCAGCAGCAUGGGUGGGAGCCUUUCUCCCUGCUCCUGCUCUCCAGUCCGGGCCUUAAAGACUUGGCUGGGACCUAUUCUGUGCCCAGGCUUUGCUCUGAAUGUGUGCCAGGGGGAGAAGUCGGCAUUUCCGGAUCUUUCUCUUAAGUCAUUUUAUCAUGGACUAGUGCGUGCUCCGUGUCCACCCCAAUAAAAGGAUCUUUCCUACUCGACCUCGCGUCUUUGCUCCGUGUGCCUCAGCCCCAGAGGACGGAGCCACUGAGAGUCGACUCGUCAUCACCAAGAGGAGCCAAGAGGGGCCCCCACGUGCCAGGGCCCUGGGACCCACUGGAUUCUCUCAUGGGCCUGCCAUGGCCACCUCGCUCAGAGCCAAGACCUGUCUGGACCCACCCCCAUGCCUCACCUGACAAGGUGUCCCAAAGGACCAGGACACCCCUGAGAGAUGGUCCAUGUCGCCAAGGACAUAACUGUGGUCAACCCGCGCCCUGGAUGCCUUGGGUCAGGGUGGCAUGCCCACCAGCCACUGUGGAGACAGCCCAGGUGGCCUGGCCUCAAGUGCGCCUGAUUCAGAGAUGAGGUGCACGGAGCUGCAAGGAACACCCAGCCCAGGGGCUGUGUCGGUCAGCGGAGUUCCACAGCCACUCGUGGGCUGUCAGCUAGGCUGAGUUGGGCCUGAGCUUGGAGACCUAGGGGGCGUUCAGGCUCUAGGCAGAAGGUUUGAGGCUUCGAACACUGGGCCUGGGGCUAGGGGGAGCUCUGUUUCUCCCUCUGCACCAGUCUCAAGUGGGGGCCAUGUCUGGGAACUGAGUGCUGUGGCUUUUUGGGGAGAUGAAUGGUUGGGCUAUGGAGCUGGAAGGAAUACCAGGCCUUAGGGGGAACCCACCCCAGAUUAUCACUGUGGAGGGCCCUGACUGAGCCAGACUGCUCCGGAAUGGGCCACCCAUUGCCUCCCAGGUGGAAGGUUCUAGGGUUCACCACCUAGGUGUGCCCUGGGGCCAAGGAGCUUUUCCUCCUAGCUCUGGGUGGCUUUUAUACCUGUGUUGAGUCCUUUCAGUCACAGAUGCAAGCUGACCUGGGUGGUGCUCUGGUGGGCUGAGUCCCCAGAGGUGCUCAGAUGCCUUGGAAUCUCCAGCCCCAGGGCUUGGUCUGAUGCUAGGCAGGCAUGUGGUGUUGCUAAUUAUUAGCUUCAAAGGCCACAGGACAGUGGGAACAGGUGUCACUGCUGCCCUUGCCUCUUGCCCUGGUUCCCCGAGAGACUGGGUUCGUCUCCUGUCAGCAUAAUCCGUGGCUCAGGCAGGGGUCCCAGAGCCAGGGACCACGGAGGUCUCCUGAGUGUGGGCUCCUCAGCCAGCCUUUGCCCACUUUUCCUGCCUUUGGGACCGCCCCUUAUUCCUCUGCUCCUUCAGACACCAAACUCUGCCUUCCCACACCUCUGUGCCUUUGCACAGGCUGCUCUCCUGCUUCUGGUGAACCCUGGUUUCUCUUUCAUAACCCUCCAAAGUGCCCCUUCCUCACACUGGCUCCCCCAGAACCCCCCAGCCACUCGGCAGGGCCCACUAGACUCGGAGCCUUUGGCUGUGGACACGCUUGAGGGUGGGAGGGGCUGCACACCCCCCCUGACCACACGAGGUAGAAGUAGAGUCCCAGCAACUGGGUCUGACAGCAA